Photinus pyralis (common eastern firefly) is the source of this 729-nucleotide long non-coding RNA. RefSeq lists it as uncharacterized. The transcript is spliced from 3 exons. The record is from RefSeq and is a predicted model, not a curated record. NCBI's taxonomy places the organism in Eukaryota, Metazoa, Arthropoda, Insecta, Coleoptera, Lampyridae.
AACUUGCAAUUGUGAUGUCUUUCAUGUCGUGCCAUACAUUUAUAAGCGUAUUCGCUUCUGGUGAUCAUAGUCAGUCAAAUCACUUUCAUUUAAAUCAGUUCAGUCUGGUCAGUUGAAUGGAUAGAAAAAAAAACUGAACCGAAUGCUUAUCUACAUAAUAUAACCUCUCUGACUCCGUAAUAAAUCUGUCAUUUCAUCCAUGGCAAGUGUAUAAAAAUCGAAAGAUUUUACAGUUAUUCACUUUGUGAUUUUAUGAUCAGUUUCAUGUGGUGGGAAAUAAUUGAUUGCACCGAAAAAAACUUCUGUCAAUCACUCAAGUCGAUUUAACUGAAUAUAAUGAGUGAGUGCUCAAUAGGGGCAUAAUUAUAAAUAAUUACAACAAUUGGCGACCGUGACAGGACCUUUGUUUGUGAAUUUUGUUGUGGGAAAACUUUUGUGGAAAAAUGGAGAUACUGGAUGUGAAACAGCUUAAAAAACUUCGUACAUCUUCCCGGCAGGCGUUUACAAAAGCGUAUAACGCGUUGAAGGUUCUUUUGGAGGGAUAUGAGACGUUAUUGAGGACAACGGAGGGAUUACACUGCCUAACAUCAGCAGCACUUAUUGGUGAUAAUUACGCAUAGGCUGUAGACAGGUUAUGAUAAUGAUAGAUUUGUAUUUCGUGCAAAUGUUUUUAUUCGUUCAAUAAAAACAUUUGCACGAAAUAAAAACCUUUCAUCGUCGAAUAUACAG